UUAUUGAAUUGGAGAAAUGGUGACGCCUUAUCGGGCAGCCCUGGACUAGGAGUGGCAUGAACUGAAGAAUAUCUACGGCCAACAACCUGCUUUUGCUUGGUCAUUUCCUCAAACAGCCGCCAAGGACUCUGCAUUUCACUUGGCAGUGUUCAGCAAAAGUGAAGAACCGCUUAAAGGUUCACUUGAAAUUGCUGAAGAUCAUGAUAUGGCAAAGGAUCGCUCUGGGGAUAAGAAUAUCUACGGAAACACGGCUCUUCAUGAGGCUACCGCCCAUGGUAACAUUAAGGCCGUAAAGCUAUUGGUGAAAUACGAUGAGCAGCUCCUUGAGGAUAUAGAUGAAGAAGGCGAAACCCCGCUGUUUAAAGCUGCUGCAUUUGGGCAAACAGAGGUGGUCAAAUAUUUAGUUGAAGAAUGUCCUAGUCGUACAAAGCCGAAAGACAUUGCGAAUAUUCACCGCCACAGCAAAAAAACCUGGUGCCCUAGAACCUGAGGCCUCCAUUCUGCAUGCUGCCAUACAAGGAGAGCACUUUGAAACGGCUUCAUUGUUACUGGAACUGGAUGACUCGUUAGCAACAUUAGAGGACGGAAAUGGCAUGACCAAUCUUUAACUGCUGGCUACUAUGCCCUCUGCUUUCAGAAGUAGAUACCGAAUGAGCAUAUUGACAAGACUCCUCUACUUUUGUCCUCUGAUUGAGGCAAAACGAAGAAUAGGUUUGCCAAUACCGAGAAGAAUCUUGGAGGAUAAGAGAAAGCAUAAACUUGCUUUUGAACUCACCCGAAACCUAAUAGAACUAGAUACUACGUGGCAGCAGAUUAUGGAACUAGGAAAUAUUCUAGCU
Long non-coding RNA from Pistacia vera, 839 nucleotides. RefSeq lists it as uncharacterized. The record is from RefSeq and is a predicted model, not a curated record. Lineage: Eukaryota; Viridiplantae; Streptophyta; Magnoliopsida; Sapindales; Anacardiaceae. The transcript is spliced from 3 exons.